This is a long non-coding RNA of Podarcis raffonei (Aeolian wall lizard), 3060 nucleotides long. RefSeq lists it as uncharacterized. The transcript is spliced from 6 exons. The record is from RefSeq and is a predicted model, not a curated record. Lineage: Eukaryota; Metazoa; Chordata; Lepidosauria; Squamata; Lacertidae.
CACCUCUCUGUCUCCGCUGCUCCGACGUUGAGAGGUGCCCCCCCCCCACUUUUUCCUACCCCCUCUCCUUCCGGGGUUAGAAGCCCAAGAAAGAGCGAUGGAUGGCGGCACUUUGGCCCAGCAGCCCCGGUGGGGGGGCUACUGCUCCAAUAGCUCCGCGCGGAGGAUAGAGCCGGUUGAGGCGCACCUCCCUCUCUGAAUCCCCCCCGGAGUCCUCUGCUGCGCUUGCUGAGAGGCCUCGCUCGCUGGAUCCCUUCCUUCGCUUCUUGUGCAACCUCUUCCCAGCCCGCUUCUCUUCCUGGGCUCCGCAGCCAAGUGCCUCCGGCUCCGCCAUGGCCACGAAUCUGGGAAGCCAUGCAGACGGAGGACGAGGAGCAAUGGCUCUACGGAGGGACACAGGACCUCAUCCUUUAAAAGACAUUCCCAAGGAGAGAAAGAUUGUCAGUGAUGAAGAAUGAGAAUUGUUACAGCAAACCCUUUCAGGUAGAGAAGACAACGAGGAAGACAGUGAUAGUGACAGUGACGACUACAUCCAAGUAAUGAUUGGCAACAUCACAACAAGAAGGCCAUCUUUCAUCUGCCCACUGAAGCCAAACCACAGUGCAAUUCAGCAGAAGCCUGUUCCAGCUGUCUGAUGCAGGCAUGAAGCCAAGUUGCAACCCAAAGGUAAUGAUUUAGAUGCUCCUGGGAAUAUAUAUGGCUUACCUGAAGCAGACAUGGAUUUGGAUUCAGCUGAUGACAAACCAUGGAGGAAACCAGCAUUGAACGAUGCAUGAGUGAGACCUCUGAUUACUGUAAGUAAAACAUUUAAACUUACUUAAGGUUGUGGUCUCUUCACUCCUAGAGGGGUAGAGGUGGGGGAGCACAAUUGUCAGUGCUUAAUACUGGUACAUUUAAAGGUCUAACAGCCUAUAUUGCCCAUCCUUUGCAAACAGUGCACAUAUAUUUUAGUUUUAAACUCUACUGGGGGCUCUUUGGGCUAGACAGUGAGUCAAGCUCUAUGCUUUUUUUGAAUUUAGGUAGUCAGCUAUUGGGAUUUCAGGAUUAACUGUUAUUCCCUAGUUAUUUUCCAACACCAUGUACAACAUACAUUGAGCUCCUUGGAGAAAAAACGUGGGAUAUAAAUGCAAUAAAUAAAUAAAAUUGUCGCAAGCAUAUUGGCUGUUGAAGUGCUCCCAAUUUACUAAUUAAAUAUAUUCAUGUGCUUGGGACAAACUUUCAGGAAGUAGUUUCCUAGCCCUGGCAAGACCGUUGGGAGAGACAACAGAAAGUGGUCUUUCCCCCUAUGAAUCUCUCUCAAAUUUGCCUUUGCCUGGUGUAGACUCAAAUAAGUGAAACAUUUUGCAGAGGAUAGCAGGGAUAAGGGAAAAGAGAGAGUGGGGAAAUUCUAUCAGAUGGUUGUGAAACUGGAUUUUUUAAGUGAAAAGUUAAAGAUGAGCCUCUUGGACAAUUGCUGGGUGGGAAACUUGGCUGGUCGAAUCAUUAAAAUCCCAGAACUAGAAUGGCACCAUUGUAUAAUAAACUGAAGCUCUGCUCUGAAUUUCCCCUCUCUUCACUGGAUUUAAGUGUGAAAGGUACAGACCAGGGAUCUAAGCAAGUUAAUUAACCUUGAAAGGCUGGUGAAAGGGUUAAAUUUGGUAGACAGUGUAACUGGUGAAACUCAUCUGCCAAAGCGUAGCGGUAUCAGAUAUGAUCUUGAAGUAGCUUGAACACAUUUUUAAAGCUUCCAGCUACUUUAAUUUAUGGAAGUCUUGACUAAAUCAAAAGACCCCCAGGAAUAUUUGCUCCUGAGGAGAAUGUUUCGCUGAUGUGUGUUGCAGAAAACAUUGCAGCAGCAGUGUUAUAACUGGAUAAUUGAUUAGGCGUCCAAGCUCUAAUCAUUACAUCAAAUCAACCAAACCUUUAGUUGACUAAUGAGGGGAAGCCAGUUUUAAUCAGUGGAACUUUUAAGGACAUACAUAUUUCCUUAUGCAGGCUGUUUUGGUUCUGGUGUGUUUCUAGACUAGAGGAUGAAAAAGCUGUAAUGAAAGCAAGAGGCUCAGGAAAGUUUGUUUCUGCCCUUCCUUGCACAACUGUCUUGUAGAGUAGGCCAGUUAUGGCUCAGCUAUCUGGUUUUUGCUGCCACCCCUCCUCCAUAACAUAAGUCAGGAGAGAGAUCUUGGGACCCUCACUCAAACACCUACGUGGGGAUUGCACAGAUGUCUUCUAAAAGUCAGAUAGGGAAAUGAAGAUGUCAACAGGACCCAAAAAGAACAAGGAAAACUAAAAGGAGCAUCUGUGGUUCUAAUUUAUCUCAUCCUAAACUUUCUACUUGGGAUCAGGUGAGUAGCAAGGAUGGUCAGUUGCAGGAUUAUCUGAUGGGGGUGGGAUGGAUCCUGAUGUGAGAGAACAAAGGCUACAUAGCACAGUCCAUUUAUAAGGGGCUCAGGACCCCCAUUUGGCAGGCAGUUUCCAGCAAAUCAGACGUCUGGCAUACUUGCCAGGCAAAGAUUAACACUCCACUGAGAUCAGAUGAAGGUGGACAGUUACUGCCCAGAUUCCUACCCCCACCCCAAUCUUUCUGUGACACAGUCUGAAUCAUUUUGUUGACGUAGGUUGUGUUUUGGCUCCCGCAAGGCAAAUGGAGCAGCAAGAAACCAGGCUUUUCCCUCACAGAAGCAAAUUUUAGAGAUGGCUUUUCCUUGUGACACUGACUGAUUGGUUUGUCUUUCACUUCCUAACUUAUAUCAGAAAGACAUCUAAAUUGGGGCUAUGCUAGUGUACAAAAUAUAUUCAAGUGUAGUUGGCUAUUACCAAUUCCUUAAAUCAGUUGGCAGCCCUGGCGUUUUACAUUGCAGCUUGGAUUUUCUCCCUUCCUUUUUAACUGAACAACACCAAAAAUAUAAUUCUGGCACAAUAAUAGAUCAGGCAAUGCUGUGAAACUGAAAUGCUAUUUAAUUCCUUCUGUGUGAUUUGCUUAUAUAAGAGAAGUUAGAUACUUUAGGCAUUGAUUUCUAUAGUCAAACAUUAGGAUGGCAAUGUUCACAUGCUGAUGAUCCCAGACUGAUUUGGUUAAUGCCC